GGUGCGGUCGGCGGGGCGGUGAGCGCGGGGCUGCUGUCGCUGGCCUCGGAGGCGGCGACGUACGCGGUGUUCGGGGCGCUGGCCCUGCUG
This 90-nucleotide transfer RNA is filed under the name Streptomyces microflavus. Its description in RNAcentral is "tRNA-Asp(gtc)". Lineage: Bacteria; Bacillati; Actinomycetota; Actinomycetes; Kitasatosporales; Streptomycetaceae. The record is from RNAcentral.